CCUACGGGCGGCUGCAGUGGGGAAUAUUGCACAAUGGGCGCAAGCCUGAUGCAGCCAUGCCGCGUGUGUGAAGAAGGCCUUCGGGUUGUAAAGCACUUUCAGCGGGGAGGAAGGCGGUGAGGUUAAUAACCUCAUCGAUUGACGUUACCCGCAGAAGAAGCACCGGCUAACUCCGUGCCAGCAGCCGCGGUAAUACGGAGGGUGCAAGCGUUAAUCGGAAUUACUGGGCGUAAAGCGCACGCAGGCGGUCUGUCAAGUCGGAUGUGAAAUCCCCGGGCUCAACCUGGGAACUGCAUUCGAAACUGGCAGGCUAGAGGCUUGUAGAGGGGGGUAGAAUUCCCGGUUUAGCGGGGAAAUGCGUAGAGAUCUGGAGGAAUACCGGUGGCGAAGGCGGCCCCCUGGACAAAGACUGACGCUCAGGUGCGAAAGCGUGGGGAGCAAACCGGAUUAGAUACCCUUGUAGUC
This 465-nucleotide ribosomal RNA is filed under the name uncultured Klebsiella sp. RNAcentral describes it as "bacterial SSU rRNA". It matches the Rfam family "Bacterial small subunit ribosomal RNA", at positions 338 to 795 of the family's 1533-position model. Lineage: Bacteria; Pseudomonadati; Pseudomonadota; Gammaproteobacteria; Enterobacterales; Enterobacteriaceae. The record is from RNAcentral.